RNAcentral lists this ribosomal RNA (253 nucleotides) under uncultured bacterium. RNAcentral describes it as "partial 16S ribosomal RNA". It matches the Rfam family "Bacterial small subunit ribosomal RNA", at positions 524 to 776 of the family's 1533-position model. The record is from RNAcentral.
UACGUAGGGUGCAAGCGUUAAUCGGAAUUACUGGGCGUAAAGCGUGCGCAGGCGGUUUUGUAAGUCUGAUGUGAAAUCCCCGGGUUCAACCUGGGAAUUGCAUUGGAGACUGCAAGGCUAGAAUCUGGCAGAGGGGGGUAGAAUUCCACGUGUAGCAGUGAAAUGCGUAGAGAUGUGGAGGAACACCGAUGGCGAAGGCAGCCCCCUGGGUCAAGAUUGACGCUCAUGCACGAAAGCGUGGGGAGCAAACAGG